UCGGGAAUUUUGGGCAAUGGGCGAAAGCCUGACCCAGCAACGCCGCGUGAAGGAUGAAGUCUCUCGGGAUGUAAACUUCGUAAGAAUAGGAAGAAUAAAUGACGGUACUAUUUGUAAGGUCCGGCUAACUACGUGCCAGCAGCCGCGGUAAUACGUAGGGACCAAGCGUUGUUCGGAUUUACUGGGCGUAAAGGGCGCGUAGGCGGCAUGACAAGUCACUUGUGAAAUCUCUGGGCUUAACCCAGAACGGCCAAGUGAUACUGUCGCGCUAGAGUGCAGAAGGGGCAAUCGGAAUUCUUGGUGUAGCGGUGAAAUGCGUAGAUAUCAAGAGGAACACCUGAGGUGAAGACGGGUUGCUGGGCUGACACUGACGCUGAGGCGCGAAAGCCAGGGGAGCAAACGGGAUUAGAUACCCCAGUAGUCCCUGAGCGGGCUGGCAAGGCGCAU
RNAcentral lists this ribosomal RNA (447 nucleotides) under uncultured bacterium. RNAcentral's name for it is "bacterial SSU rRNA". It matches the Rfam family "Bacterial small subunit ribosomal RNA", at positions 355 to 825 of the family's 1533-position model. The record is from RNAcentral.